RNAcentral lists this ribosomal RNA (253 nucleotides) under uncultured bacterium. Its description in RNAcentral is "partial 16S ribosomal RNA". It matches the Rfam family "Bacterial small subunit ribosomal RNA", at positions 524 to 776 of the family's 1533-position model. The record is from RNAcentral.
UACGAAGGGGGCUAGCGUUGUUCGGAAUUACUGGGCGUAAAGCGUGCGUAGGCGGUUAUUCAAGUCAGGGGUGAAAGCCUGGAGCUCAACUCCAGAUCUGCCCUUGAAACUAGAUAACUAGAAUCUUGGAGAGGUGAGUGGAAUUCCGAGUGUAGAGGUGAAAUUCGUAGAUAUUCGGAAGAACACCAGUGGCGAAGGCGACUCACUGGACAAGUAUUGACGCUGAGGCACGAAAGCGUGGGGAGCAAACAGG